Long non-coding RNA from Phyllostomus discolor (pale spear-nosed bat), 6217 nucleotides. RefSeq lists it as uncharacterized. Lineage: Eukaryota; Metazoa; Chordata; Mammalia; Chiroptera; Phyllostomidae. The transcript has 2 exons. The record is from RefSeq and is a predicted model, not a curated record.
AUAUACAGAGUGAGAGAGAAUGAAAGAGACAGAGAGAAAGAGAGAGAACAGCACAGAUUUAAAGUGUAGAUACUGCAGGUAAACAGAAUUUAAGUCCAAGGGACGUCAUUUACUAGCCCAAUGCCUUGGGCAAGCUAUUUGAUUUUUCUGUGCCUGUUUUUCCCUCUGUACCAACUAAUUCUCAAACCUGUAUCAUAAGGUUACUACAAUGACUCACACAUAAUCAUCAGUUACAUACAGAUGUCUCAGAAUGGUACCUAUAGAACAUAGAAGAUUCAUUUGUGAAAGCAUUAUUACUUGUGGUAUUAUUUUCAUUAAUAAUAAUAAUAAUAAGUAAAGCCCUAUUGUCUUGAGUAGCUGAGGAGAGGGGAUUUGACUAGGCGCCCGUAGGGGUGAGAGCCAGCCUUGGCCCUCUCAUUAAGCAGCUGUGCUGAACCUCUGUUUGGGCAGCACAGUGAACCUCCCCGUGCCUCAGUGUCCUUGCUGGGAAGAUGGGAUUAUGCCAGCCAUCUGGCUUAGUUCAUUGACUAGUUUAAAGAGUAAUCACCUGGGUACGUGACGCGAAAGUGCUUUGGCAAACUAAUACCAGGCUGUCACGGGUUCUGGAUGUCCACUUGUGGCUGGCUGGAGCGUGGCAGGGAGGGAGCUGCGGCAGGGCGCUGGCUGGGGAGAACCUCUCCAGUCGUUCUGCUUUGGGGUCUGAGGAAGGCCCAGGACUGCGAAGCCUGCGGGGCCCACGGCAGCAGUCUGGCUGACCUGUGUGGUUUCAUGGGCCUGCACAGGAAUCAAAAGCGAGUCAUUAGCAGUGCUGGGAGUUUUCCUGGACUAAACAAUGGCACCCUCAUCCUGGGAUUCCCCGGGUUGUCAUCUGUUGACUUUGGAAUAGGAGGUGACUGUGUGCACACACUGCCUCGGCUGGUGCCUCUCAGACACCUGUUUCCUCCUGUCUCCACCCUCAUCUCACUCCCUGUGGACUGGACCCCGAGUGCCAGCCCCGCUCCUCACCCCAGCGGCCCUCAGCACAGACACCUCCUGGACUGGGAGAAGGGGGAGGCCCUCGAGUACACUGCAUCUGCUGCCGGGUGUGCGUGCGUGCACAUGUGUGUGUGUGCACGCGUGUGUGAAGCAAUCUCUUGUGAGGGUCAGGAUGCCUUACGAAAGUGGAAUAAGUAUACCCACUGCUUUUGUUCCAAAGGAAAAGUCUCCAAAGAUCCCACCGGAGAAUAACUUUUUGGCCCACUUCUAGGGUGUUUGUGUUCUUUUCCUUGCUCAAUCAUGGCAAAGUUCAUUGAAAAAAGCAGCUGCAUUCCCUAUAGCAAGUUUAUUAGGGAGGCGCUCAGGUUUUGAACAGUUCUGAGGAAGUGUAGCCCGCAGCCCCUUGGGGAAGCCGCUGCCUCUUAAAUUGCUACCCUUAAUCCCUGGUGACCAGAACUGGCCCAGAACGAAAGGGCUGAUCCCACAGGGAAAAUAAAAUAAACAGAACCACACCAUGCUCUCCCCCAUCCAACCACAACCACCAAAAACAAAACAGAGCAGAGCUCAACAAAUCAGCGCAACUCAGUGCGAGUUUGAGGGCAACUCCGUUCCAAACUGUUUCUCUGAAUCAUUCAGAUGCAAAACCAGAACAGAGGACAAAAAUUAGAAGCCAUUUAACUUUUUAAAGCCUUUCAACAAUAGCUAUCUAUAUUUCCAUGCCCACAAUGCUAUGGCAGAAUUUUUAAAAAUGUUUUGUUUUUGCCUUCAACAGUUUUAUUUCACCUUAGGUGAACCCCUGGCCCAACCGAAUGGGGCUUGAUGAGCCUAAAAUCAGUCUUUCAGCCACUUCCAAAAAUGUCUGUACGGCCCCCACACCCUGACACUUAAUGGGGUCAGCACUGGAGGUGCUGCUCCUUGGAGGGGGUGGGGAGGACAGAAGGCUGGCAGCGUGGAGGCUUUUCAAAGGGGGUCGGAGGUCACCCAGUGAUUGCACAAUUUCAACCCUUAUCUGCCUCACUGAGGUGCUGGCAGGGAGGGGGCUGGAGGAGGAGCCCCCAGGCCUGGGAUGUGGAAGAGAGCAAAUAAAUACCAGGGACGCCUGGCAACCCUCCCAGCUGAGGGGAAAGCGAGCCUGGUCUUCGAAGAUGGGUCCUGGAUUGCUUGGGACCUGUUUGGCAGCCUCGUGUAAGUUUAAAACCUCUUACCCUGAGGCUUUAAAGUUAGUCUUUAAUUCUUCAUUCAUUCAUCCUGAAACUUAUUUCUUAACCUAAGCCCCUUUGGUGUUUGGGUGGGGCAGGGGUGGGGCGCUAUAGAAAGACAUAAGACAGUCCUCACUCUCCAAAAGCUCUCCUUCUAGUAAUAUUUAAAAGAAAAGGUCAAGUAUCCCAAUUCUCAGGAAACAAAUGAAUCUUUCGUCUAGAAAAUUGGGUUUAUUUUCAAUACAUUUUUUACAGUACAGUGGAAGGAGCUCUAACAGAGGACUCAGAUUCUUCUGGAAAAUUAGGGAGGGACUGGAUGAUCUUGAAAUUCCCCAGACUCCCAGCAUGUGGGAUGUGUUACUUCUGUUUAAUCACGCCAGCAGUAAGCCAGGCGCUAGUUCGGGUGUACAAAGAUGAGUGAGAUAGAGCACCUGUUCCUGAGCAAUUUAUAAUCUGGGGCUAAUGAUACCAAUAGCGGUACUAAUGCCCAUAACAGCAAACGAGAUGACAGCUCCAAGAGGAGAUGGGCUAGGCCGUUGAGAGACAGAAACGGAGUACUGGGGACCACGGAGGUGGGCGGGUGCGGGGGAAUCUAAGAGAAGUUCAUCGACACAGUUGAUUUCACUCCGGGUCCAAAGAUCAACAGGUUGGCCGAGAAGGAAAGGAGAAGCAGCACUGCGUGCUGAGCGAACAGCCUAGGCCAAGGUAUUGGAGGUGUGACUGUGAUGGCCUAGCCCAGGAGAGUGACCCACAGGGACAUUGGGAGGGGCCACAGGAGGCGCUGCUCUACCCAGAAAUUCUCCACCACGGCCUGACCCCUGUCGUUGGAAAGGAGAAAGCAAACUGUGUGAGGAGCCAGGAAGCAACAGCUUAAACCCUGCUCAGGGAACCUGCUAAAGGCAGCAGCGCUAGUGAGGUAGUGAGCGCACCAGGAGUUGCCAGUACGUGAUCCUUUAUAUCUCCAGGAGAAUGAAAAGGGGUGGGGGGAGGGAGAGAAAUCCUUUGCUGGCCAGCCCAGCGGCUUUUCAGAGGCGUUUUCACUCAUUUGUGGGCUUGUCAGUGUGACAUUGUGUCUGCCCUCCUGAAAGCCAUACAUCUUACUUUGAAACCCUCCAAUGGCCUUGGACCCCCUGAAGACCCCAGUGUUCCCAGGCUGACCUUUAGGCGGGGGGGGGCUCAUGCCCCUCUGAGGCUGGUGGGGGGAAGAUGCCACCUCCCGUGCUCAGGCCUUCUUGCCACUGGCUCGCUGACAAAAGUCCUUUCUUCACCAGGAAGGAUUAGUGCUUUUUAAAAAUGUGACUCUCGAGUUCUGAAAAGCCUGCUAGCUGUGUACUUCCACGGCCUUUUAAUUUUCGUACAUUUUCUUCCUCCACCUCCAAGGUCUCUGGGCCCUCCCGGAGUGGAAGGGGAUUUGAAAUAAGUCUUAAAGUCACGUGCAAAACUGUCUGCUCCCAGGGAUGGCAUUUCCGGGACUUCAUUUCCUGUAUGUAGUGUAACAGUGACACGGAUGCUGCAGAGAUAGGGGGUUAGGUGGGUGGGGCUGAGCCGUAGUUCUGGUGGGUGGUUUCUGAGCUGGUUGAGCACAGCCAAUCCCUGUCCCUCUCGCAGUCUUUAUCUGCAAUAUGGGAAAAGUGACCUUUCUUAGCAUUGCUGUGAUGAGUUUAAGUGAAAGGUGCCCUGUACCGCACUUAACGAAUAGCUGCUAACUUGGCUAGGAUUUUCAUUUGAUAAAUGAUGCUGAACUCUUCUGUGGUUUUACUAUUCAAGCCCAGUCACUUGGGGAAAAAAGUAAUGGGCUCCCUGUGUUAAGCUAUCUUGCGUAUUUGCACCCUCCGGGGUGGCACACAGCUUCUGGUCUUCCCUUCAUCAUGCUUGUGCCACGUAAAGGCUGCCGUUCCCCUUGUGUGGGGGGAGAGGCACCAUCCUGCAUUCGGGGUGCGCUAGAGAGCCCCCUUUUGUCAGGCGCUCCCCACAGCGUCUGAACUCUCUCCCCCAUUAGUCACUGCUUGGCUGAAGGAUCAGAAGGACCCCGGUUAAGCUGAAGCAUGUUUGCUGGGAAACACAUUAAGGCAGUAACAGCUGGACACAAAUUAGUUUAUCAGACUCGGGCUGGACUUGCAGAAGCUGGGGGUGAGAAGGAACUUUCCAGAUCACGCAUUAAUAGGUGAGGGAACAGAGGUCUUCGGAGGGGCAGAUCUUUGGGAUGCCAGGCCUCAACCCUGGCUUUCUGGCCCGAAUCUCCUCCCCUCUUUGUUCUGCCUCGAGGAGCAAGAUAGAUACUCCAACUCUCAUUCAGGAGAUAUUUAUCACGUGCCUCCCGCACGCAGCUGGGCAAGUGCUGAAAAUUCAGGGAAGCAUGAGUAGGGAACACGGAUGAGGGAAUAUGCAAAAUGCUGGUCGACAUGGGACAGAUCUCAUGAUGCUGGGGAUAGAAGGGUCUGGAACAUAAGAUACUUGAGCAGCAAAGGGCAGACCCGGGCUCUGGGGUGUCAGUGCCACCAGGAGUUGCACGACAUCAGGAUCUAGGGCCCUAUCACGUGGCUACCAAGACAGUGUAAGAAAGGUCACCCUCAGGGUUCUGGGCUAAGAGGGAGGUGGGGUGGGGUGGGGGUCACUGCCUGCAGGGGUCAGCGCCGCAUUGUCAGGCCCAGGGGAUGGGUCAGAAAGCCGUGAGCUGAAAAAAGAGGCCCACACUGGGAGGAACCAGAGCACACUUCGGGGCAGACCUCCGCAAGCAUUGUUCCCACCACUUUGUCCCACGUGGUUGACGCAGACUGAUCUCUUUCCCUUAAUUCACAUCAAAGGCCUCGGUGGAAGAUCACAAAAAUGGGGGGAAGGAGAAGAGAGGCCCUGGGAGAGGCGACUUGAUGAAUAGCUUUCCAAGGUGUGGGAGGCUUCCAGGAGCCACUUCUGUCUGAAAAUCUGCAGCGUCCUGACGCCUGCUGGUGUGAACUCAUAGCCGUUACCCCAUUGGGGACACCCCCUGCAUCCGUGGAUUACUGGUGAUAUCAGUCACCUUUUCCAUAUGCCGCUCCUUACUCCGGUCCUCCGCAGAGAAUGCUGCUGCAUGGUUCCAAUAGCCUUCUAACUGGUCAUCCUCCCUCCAGCCUCCACCUUUUCAAAGCUGUUCUUUUGCUGUUACUGGAGAGAUCCUCUAAUCUAAUCACUCCCAAGAAUUAAGAGUAGAAUCCCCUUUUCAGGGACUUAGCCUGCUCCAGCCUAACAAACAACCCCAUUUCCUGCCACUUGAUCCCUACACUCUGAUCACACAGAGCCUGCCAUCGCCCCUCCGCACCUUUGCACGCACUAUUCCACCUUCCUGGGGUGCAUUCCUCCUCCUGUGGAGUCUGCCUUCCCCCUUCCAGACGCAGGGCAGUGUCACUUCUGUGAGGCUCUUCCAGGCUUCCCAGUCUGGGUCAUAUCUCUUCUCUUUGUGGCCCAGCUGUAUACUGCACAGACCCUCUCUUGUGGCACCUGUCACGCUGCUUUGCAACCGUUGGUAUAUAUGUCCAUCUUCUAAUAGACUGUGUGUGUGCACGGUAGGGGCGUGCGCGCACACACCACACACGUUAGAGACAGACUCCUUUCUGAUUUUCAGUGCCCAGCCUGGAGCCAGGUAAAUGCAUCUUGGCAGAUGCUCAAGGAGUGUCUGUGAAAUGACCUAGCACACACAAAGUGUGAAGGUGCGAGGUCUGAAAGGCAAGGCCACAGAGCUAUUCCCUUUACUUAAGGCCGAGGGAGAUGCAUGCCCUUUCUGCCCCACCCUACCCUUCCUCCUUGCACUGGGAAUGGUGUUUCCCAUCUUUGACCUGCAGAGGUUCUGACUGGGAACUAAUUCAGUGACUUCCUGGAGAUGUACAGUUUCUGAUCUUUUGGAUAUCCUAGAGAAUAUGAUAAACCUGUAGAUGCUUCCCCAGAAAAUGCGCCCACACCCAGUCUCACAGCCUUUUCACAGGUUUCUGGACUCCACACCCUCCCACCUAGCCUCAAGGACCCCUGGCUUAAAACAGCUACAAUAGAGAGAUUGUGUUUUACUCUCUAGG